UUUAGGUUUUUUUAGCUUUAAGUUUUGAGAUUAUUUUUUAGUGUUUAGGGUUGGUAGAGUUUUAGGAUUAGAUGAGAUUUAUGGUUAGGUUUAGGUAGGGUUUUAGGGUUAGGUUUAGGUAGGGUUUUAGGGUUAGGUUUAGGCAGGGUUUAGGGUUUAGGGUUAGGUAGGGUUUUUAGGGCUAGGUAGGGUUUUUAGGGUUAGGCAGGGUUUAGGGUUAGGUAGGGUUUAGGGUUAGAGAUGGUUAUUGACAAAUAAAUGUUUGAGAACUUUAAUUUUUUUUUUUUUGAGAUUCUACUGCUAUAAUAGUUUAAGGGUUUUUGAAA
This 326-nucleotide long non-coding RNA is filed under the name Brassica napus (rape). RNAcentral describes it as "long non-coding RNA (BNAP_LNC008113)". Lineage: Eukaryota; Viridiplantae; Streptophyta; Magnoliopsida; Brassicales; Brassicaceae. The record is from RNAcentral.